Molecule: transfer RNA, 74 nt
Filed under: Chloroflexota bacterium
Lineage: Bacteria; Bacillati; Chloroflexota
Also listed under: 1 other name
Description: Chloroflexi bacterium (anaerobic digester metagenome) tRNA-Gln
Rfam family: tRNA
About the family: Transfer RNA (tRNA) molecules are approximately 80 nucleotides in length. Their secondary structure includes four short double-helical elements and three loops (D, anti-codon, and T loops).
Source: RNAcentral
UGAGGGAUCGUCCAAUGGUAGGAUACCUGACUCUGAAUCAGAUGAUCGGGGUUCGAAUCCCUGUCCCUCAGCCA